UAGGGAAUCUUCGGCAAUGGGGGGAACCCUGACCGAGCAACGCCGCGUGAGUGAAGAAGGUUUUCGGAUCGUAAAGCUCUGUUGUUAAGGAAGAACGAGUGUGAGAAUGGAAAGUUCAUGCUGUGACGGUACUUAACCAGACAGGGACGGCUAACUACGUUCCAGCAGCCGCGGUAAUACGUAGGUCCCGAGCGUUGUCCGGAUUUAUUGGGCGUAAAGCGAGCGCAGGCGGUUAGAAAAGUCUGAAGUGAAAGGCAGUGGCUCAACCAUUGUAGGCUUUGGAAACUGUUUAACUUGAGUGCAGAAGGGGAGAGUGGAAUUCCAUGUGUAGCGGUGAAAUGCGUAGAUAUAUGGAGGAACACCGGUGGCGAAAGCGGCUCUCUGGUCUGUAACUGACGCUGAGGCUCGAAAGCGUGGGGAGCGAACAGG
RNAcentral lists this ribosomal RNA (429 nucleotides) under Bacteroidota bacterium. RNAcentral's name for it is "Bacteroidetes bacterium partial 16S ribosomal RNA". It matches the Rfam family "Bacterial small subunit ribosomal RNA", at positions 355 to 776 of the family's 1533-position model. The record is from RNAcentral. Lineage: Bacteria; Pseudomonadati; Bacteroidota.